RNAcentral lists this transfer RNA (65 nucleotides) under Loxodonta africana (African savanna elephant). It matches the Rfam family "tRNA". From Rfam's summary of the family: Transfer RNA (tRNA) molecules are approximately 80 nucleotides in length. Their secondary structure includes four short double-helical elements and three loops (D, anti-codon, and T loops). The record is from Rfam by way of RNAcentral. Lineage: Eukaryota; Metazoa; Chordata; Mammalia; Proboscidea; Elephantidae.
ACAGCUGGAGCCCUGGCAUUUGGCUACUAACCAAAAGGUUGUUGGUUCAAACCUUCCCAGAUGUA